AGUGAACGCUGGUGGUAGGCCUAACACAUGCAAGUCGAACGGCAGCACAGUAAGAGCUUGCUCUUACGGGUGGCGAGUGGCGGACGGGUGAGGAAUACAUCGGAAUCUACUUUUUCGUGGGGGAUAACGUGGGGAAACUUACGCUAAUACCGCAUACGACCUACGGGUGAAAGCAGGGGAUCUUCGGACCUUGCGCGAUUGAAUGAGCCGAUGUCGGAUUAGCUAGUUGGCGGGGUAAAGGCCCACCAAGGCGACGAUCCGUAGCUGGUCUGAGAGGAUGAUCAGCCACACUGGAACUGAGACACGGUCCAGACUCCUACGGGAGGCAGCAGUGGGGAAUAUUGGACAAUGGGCGCAAGCCUGAUCCAGCCAUACCGCGUGGGUGAAGAAGGCCUUCGGGUUGUAAAGCCCUUUUGUUGGGAAAGAAAAGCAGCAGGUUAAUACCCCGCUGUUCUGACGGUACCCAAAGAAUAAGCACCGGCUAACUUCGUG
This 492-nucleotide ribosomal RNA is filed under the name uncultured bacterium. RNAcentral describes it as "partial 16S ribosomal RNA". It matches the Rfam family "Bacterial small subunit ribosomal RNA", at positions 29 to 507 of the family's 1533-position model. The record is from RNAcentral.